GAAAAAUGGGCGGCGGCCUAACACAUGCAAGUCGAGCGGAAACGAGUUAACUGAACCUUCGGGGAACGUUAACGGCGUCGAGCGGCGGACGGGUGAGUAAUGCCUGGGAAAUUGCCCUGAUGUGGGGGAUAACCAUUGGAAACGAUGGCUAAUACCGCAUAAUAGCUUCGGCUCAAAGAGGGGGACCUUCGGGCCUCUCGCGUCAGGAUAUGCCCAGGUGGGAUUAGCUAGUUGGUGAGGUAAUGGCUCACCAAGGCGACGAUCCCUAGCUGGUCUGAGAGGAUGAUCAGCCACACUGGAACUGAGACACGGUCCAGACUCCUACGGGAGGCAGCAGUGGGGAAUAUUGCACAAUGGGCGCAAGCCUGAUGCAGCCAUGCCGCGUGUAUGAAGAAGGCCUUCGGGUUGUAAAGUACUUUCAGCAGUGAGGAAGGUGGGUAUGUUAAUAGCAUACACAUUUGACGUUAGCUGCAGAAGAAGCACCGGCUAACUCCGUGCCAGCAGCCGCGGUAAUACGGAGGGUGCGAGCGUUAAUCGGAAUUACUGGGCGUAAAGCGCAUGCAGGUGGUUUGUUAAGUCAGAUGUGAAAGCCCGGGGCUCAACCUCGGAAUUGCAUUUGAAACUGGCAAACUAGAGUACUGUAGAGGGGGGUAGAAUUUCAGGUGUAGCGGUGAAAUGCGUAGAGAUCUGAAGGAAUACCGGUGGCGAAGGCGGCCCCCUGGACAGAUACUGACACUCAGAUGCGAAAGCGUGGGGAGCAAACAGGAUUAGAUACCCUGGUAGUCCACGCCGUAAACGAUGUCUACUUGGAGGUUGUGGCCUUGAGCCGUGGCUUUCGGAGCUAACGCGUUAAGUAGACCGCCUGGGGAGUACGGUCGCAAGAUUAAAACUCAAAUGAAUUGACGGGGGCCCGCACAAGCCGUGGAGCAUGUGGUUUAAUUCGAUGCAACGCCGAAGAACCUUACCUACUCUUGACAUCUACAGGAGCCAGCGGAGACGCAGGUGUGCCUUCGGGAACUGUAAAACAAGGUCCUUCA
RNAcentral lists this ribosomal RNA (1037 nucleotides) under uncultured bacterium. Its description in RNAcentral is "bacterial SSU rRNA". It matches the Rfam family "Bacterial small subunit ribosomal RNA", at positions 28 to 1045 of the family's 1533-position model. The record is from RNAcentral.